Molecule: long non-coding RNA, 1294 nt
Organism: Pecten maximus
Lineage: Eukaryota; Metazoa; Mollusca; Bivalvia; Pectinida; Pectinidae
Exons: 2
Source: RefSeq, a predicted model, not a curated record
CCAACCUUCUGCCCAGAGUUCUCUACAUUACAGACUUCAACAUACCACAGAGGGGCCUAUAUGACCACAACCAGUACCGGAGUCUCAGAUUGACCUGUGUUUGACUUUUCUACACACGUGUAUACCUGGUGUGCUUUGAUAUGUGAAGGAUGACAUAAACUUUCACGAACCUUGAGUUAUGGGCUUGGACACCUUUUAACCAGGAUGUGGUGUGACUUAUAAUUACAUAAAUUCUGCAGGUAACCAGUUUACAAUUUGACAGUGUUAUUUGUGGUUCAAGAAUAUGAAUACAUUACAUUGGUGUGUCGUGUCUGCUACAAGGAACAUUUGCACAGUUACAGACUGGAUGGGUAGCUCUUCAUCUACGAAACGGAUAUUGAAUUUGAUGGACCAUGUGUAUAUGAUGUAUGUCGUGCAUGCAAGUAAUGGAACUGAACUUGACUUCCAUAGAUUGAUUGACUUGCAUUUUUUAUUACAUUGUGGAAGAGUGAAUGUUGAGUCACUGUGACUAGUGCCUAUUUAACAGUAUUAUGUACAUUCAAUAAUUGCCGAUUCUUGUAAUACUAUAAAUUUGGAUAUUAUAUCUAUGGUAUGUAUAGUUUUUAGAUACUGGAGCUCGGUAUGAGUGUUAUUUAUGUCAAUUAACAAUAUACAGAGAAUUAGUGCAAAUUACCAAAGAUUACACAAUGAGGAUGAUUUAUUAUAUAUAAUUUGUCAUAGCAGGAUGGAGAUCCAGGUGGGUUGGCGGGAUCCUGGGGAUUCACACUCGAAGGCGAUCAUUGUUGACUUCAACCCAGUUCUAGGUUAGGUCUCAUCCAUGAUUUACCAUGGGGGGACAGGAAUUUCAGUCCACUCCCGAGAAACCGGGUGGGGCGCCCUAGCUACUUCACUGGUUUUAAUUACCAACGGGGAGUUUUUUGUCCACUGUGGAAAGGUUAUAUGUUAUAUAAUUUACCACAGGGACAGGAAAUAGAUACAUACAGUUUAUAUACAUGUUAUUGGAGACAAUGAAAAAAUUACGGUAUAAAUUAUUCUGGGUUGUUGUACGAUUGCUCCCACUCAAAAGCUACUUUGGGGGGAUGAGGCCAACCCGUGCUACCUGGGUGGCACUGAUGUGCCAUAUAUGUAUUGGAGAAUACAGGCGGUCAGUUUCUGAAUUCUUAGGAUCCUGCCAGACAUCGCAAUGGCCUAAUAUAUAGCAAUUUAUGUAAAUUUAUGGAUAUCUUAAUUGGGUAAGUGUAAAGGCGCUAGUCAUAGAUCAAUUUAGUUCAUUAAUAAAUAAUAGUUUAUCAGA